This 489-nucleotide ribosomal RNA is filed under the name uncultured bacterium. RNAcentral describes it as "partial 16S ribosomal RNA". It matches the Rfam family "Bacterial small subunit ribosomal RNA", at positions 29 to 507 of the family's 1533-position model. The record is from RNAcentral.
AGUGAACGCUGGCGGCAGGCCUAAUACAUGCAAGUCGAACGGCAGCACAGCAGAGCUUGCUCUGUGGGUGGCGAGUGGCGGACGGGUGAGGAAUACAUGGGAAUCUGCCCAGUCGUGGGGGAUAACGUAUGGAAACGUACGCUAAUACCGCAUGCGCCCUUUGGGGGAAAGCCGGGGACCUUCGGGCCUGGCGCGAUUGGAUGAGCCCAUGUUCGAUUAGCUAGUUGGCGGGGUAAAGGCCCACCAAGGCGACGAUCGAUAGCUGGUCUGAGAGGAUGAUCAGCCACACUGGGACUGAGACACGGCCCAGACUCCUACGGGAGGCAGCAGUAGGGAAUAUUGGACAAUGGGCGCAAGCCUGAUCCAGCCAUGCCGCGUGAGUGAAGAAGGCCCUCGGGUUGUAAAGCUCUUUUGUCCGGAAAGAAAGCAUUCGGUUAAUACCCGGGUGUUCUGACGGUACCGGAAGAAUAAGCACCGGCUAACUUCGUG